Molecule: long non-coding RNA, 2288 nt
Organism: Solenopsis invicta (red fire ant)
Lineage: Eukaryota; Metazoa; Arthropoda; Insecta; Hymenoptera; Formicidae
Exons: 3
Source: RefSeq, a predicted model, not a curated record
GCCGACUCGCGUCAUGCCGCGCCUGCCUCUCCGCCGAACGGACGAACAACGUCGUAGACCGGCCCGUUGACGUUACGCAGACAUAAUCGCGCACCAAGUUCGCCUACACGAGCGGAUGUGCCACCGUGUGGCAAAGAGCUACGUCGUCACGGAUGACAAGGAGCGUAGCCUGUAGAACUACAAAUGCGAGGUGUCGGGCGUUUUUCCGAAGGCUACUGGAAGAUGCUAAACAAUGAUUAUUAUGCGUCCUUCGUAUUUCAAAUCGACGCCUCAAGGUUCCACGUCUAAUUGUAAUAUGCGUAUAUGAGAAGCAUCGUUGGAAGUCAAGGUUCGUUUAAGAGACGUCGAGGAGUCUGCCAUUCUACGGGAAGGUCUGGCCGACGCUGGCUUCACUCAUCACCGAUAAAAAUGAAAGCAUCGUAGGCCCGAAGUGGUAGGGCGGUGACGUGGACAGCGCGCGUUAAGAGAGCGAGAGGAGACAAAGCGAGAAAACGGCGAGAACGGUCGUACGGCUCGACACGAGAGAGAAAGACGACGACGACAGGCAACGUGGUGAUAUCGCAAGUGGGAGAGAACUCGCGCGGUAAACUCGCAACCGUGCUGACGUACAGGAUGCCGCAAAAGUCGCCUGGCUUCUUUCUGGUGCUAACACUCUUCGAUCAUUGAAUCCCGACAUGAUCGCUAUUGCCAUUGCCAAGAUUGUUUUAUUAGGGUUCUUGUUACAACUGCUUUUACCACAAACACUUACACUUGCUUCCUCGCUUUCUCUCUUUCCUUCAACGCGAUUUGAUAUAUAUUAUUGUUAUUGCGAUUACAUCAUGACUGUAUGUGAAUCAACGUGUAUCAAAUUAUUUCCGCAUAUAGCGCGGGCGGCACGCCGCGACGCGAGCCGAGAAAGUAGCCAAAUAGAUGCGAACCGGUUCGCAAUCCUUCUCCUAGUCGUCACGCCGCGGAAAAAAAAAGGGAAAGAGGAGUCGCAGGAAGAAAGAGAGAGAAUGCGGGGAUACCUUGUUGAAAAAGGAUAACGCGCAGUAAUCAUCUUCGAAACUUUAAUAGCUUCCUCCGUUUGUGCUCUGAUGUCUCUGUCGCAGAGAUCUUGAUCGCGCGAUCGUAAUUUUUCGCGCACUUGAUCGUUUAACGUCAAGUGUGGAUCACACGGAAUGACACGGGAAUUUUGUCACCAAUUGUCAGUAAAAUGAGAUCGCAAUUACAUACAGGCUGAUUAUUAACGUCAUUUUGGAUGUCGAGAAGCAAUAGUUGUUGUGAUUAACUUGUCUAAGGGUACGGUCAAUAUGAUGCUGCAAAUGCUUUGAAACAUCUUUUAAUUGGUCAAUUUGUAAAAUUCUUUAUUUUAAUUGAUUAAUCAAACGCUUUAAAUUAUUUGUAGCGAGACUUUGACCGCAGCCUAAGUUGAAUCGUAUAUUAAUUGUUAAUUGAAUGGUCUAAUGAGCGUUUGUCAAAUAUAUUGAAAAACUUGGAUCUGAGCGUUUAAACUGUAAUUAUUUAAAUUGAAUUACGCAAGAAUCUUAUUAGCUAUUAUUCUUAUGUAACUUACGUAACGAUACUGAUGUUACAUGCGAAGUGAACAAUACGAAAAUCUAACUUCUUCUAAGCAGUCGUUACAGUAAUACUGUUAUAUACAAAUGAAGCUAAUACGUUAAAAGGUGACAUAUUAAGAUAUUCAUCUUAAUAACUUUUCUACCGCGAAUAAGACAUCAUUGAAACGUCAUUCACAUAAUUUCGUUUGCUGGAUUGCGCGUUCACGAGUUACACCGGAAACGGAUGCUCGGAGAAUAAUCGCUGUCGGUGGAAGAAUACGCGAGAGAAUUCGAAGAUAAUUUAAGAAGUAAUUAAAUUCAUUUGUGUUCUUUGAUUUUCUGGGACGCUGUUUCAGCUUGGAUCUUAUCGAAAAAAAUCAGAAAAGCUCACGUCGGACUUGGAACAUCUUUCCUUAUCACACUUGAAUUUCUAGAUCCAAAUUUUUCGAAAUUUAGAUUGCGCGUCAAGCGAAGGAAUUUUAUCAAUUUAAGCCCGAUAUUUUAAAUUGUGUCGUAUGACAAAAUUUUUAAGCAAGAUUUUUUUGGUUGGUUACAGAAUAGAAAAAUUUCCAAAUUUGUAGAAAUGCUUUAUCUUACAGCCAAUCGAUAAUGUCCUACGUGUCGUACGAUACAUGAAAUAUCAGCUUUACGAUAUCAUGUGCAUCUAGAUUUAUUUGUUUUUGAUAAUUCGCAUUCUUAAUAUCAAUAUCUCAUUUCGUAAUAAUGAGAUACAGUGAUGCAUACAAGUAU